GACGAACGCUGGCGGCGUGCUUAACACAUGCAAGUCGAACGGACAGGUCCUGCUUUUGUGGGGUGCUCGAGUGGCGAACGGAUGAGUAACACGCGAGUAACCUGCCUUCGACUUUGGGCUAGCUACAGGAAACUGGGGCUAAUUCCGACUAGGAGCUCCUGCUGCACGGUGGGGGUUGGAAAGUUUCGGCGGUUGGGGAUGGACUCGUGGCUUCUCAGCUUGUCGGUGGGGUAGUGGCGUACCAAGGCUUUGACGGGUAGCCGGCCUGAGAGGGUGACCGGCGAGAUUGGGACUGGGAUACGGCCCAGACUCCUACGGGAGGCAGCAGUGGGGUAUAUGGCACAAUGGUCGGAAGCCUGAUGCAGCAACGCCGCGUGCGUGAUGACGUCAUUCGGGUUGUAAACCGCUCUCGCCGGUGACGGAGCGGGAGUGACGGUAAUGGGUAAAGAAGCACCGGCUAACUACGUG
RNAcentral lists this ribosomal RNA (468 nucleotides) under uncultured bacterium. RNAcentral's name for it is "partial 16S ribosomal RNA". It matches the Rfam family "Bacterial small subunit ribosomal RNA", at positions 28 to 507 of the family's 1533-position model. The record is from RNAcentral.